AAAUUGAAGAGUUUGAUCAUGGCUCAGAUUGAACGCUGGCGGCAGGCCUAACACAUGCAAGUCGAACGGUAACAGGAAACAGCUUGCUGUUUCGCUGACGAGUGGCGGACGGGUGAGUAAUGUCUGGGAAACUGCCUGAUGGAGGGGGAUAACUACUGGAAACGGUAGCUAAUACCGCAUAACGUCGCAAGACCAAAGAGGGGGACCUUCGGGCCUCUUGCCAUCGGAUGUGCCCAGAUGGGAUUAGCUAGUAGGUGGGGUAACGGCUCACCUAGGCGACGAUCCCUAGCUGGUCUGAGAGGAUGACCAGCCACACUGGAACUGAGACACGGUCCAGACUCCUACGGGAGGCAGCAGUGGGGAAUAUUGCACAAUGGGCGCAAGCCUGAUGCAGCCAUGCCGCGUGUAUGAAGAAGGCCUUCGGGUUGUAAAGUACUUUCAGCGGGGAGGAAGGGAGUAAAGUUAAUACCUUUGCUCAUUGACGUUACCCGCAGAAGAAGCACCGGCUAACUCCGUGCCAGCAGCCGCGGUAAUACGGAGGGUGCAAGCGUUAAUCGGAAUUACUGGGCGUAAAGCGCACGCAGGCGG
RNAcentral lists this ribosomal RNA (588 nucleotides) under Escherichia coli. RNAcentral describes it as "bacterial SSU rRNA". It matches the Rfam family "Bacterial small subunit ribosomal RNA", at positions 1 to 578 of the family's 1533-position model. Lineage: Bacteria; Pseudomonadati; Pseudomonadota; Gammaproteobacteria; Enterobacterales; Enterobacteriaceae. The record is from RNAcentral.